Molecule: ribosomal RNA, 423 nt
Filed under: uncultured bacterium
Lineage: Bacteria
Description: bacterial SSU rRNA
Rfam family: Bacterial small subunit ribosomal RNA
Source: RNAcentral
UAGGGAAUAUUGGGCAAUGGACGAGAGUCUGACCCAGCCAUGCCGCGUGCAGGAAGACGGCGUUCUGCGUUGUAAACUGCUUUUAUCUGGGAAGAAAAAGCCCCUGCGGGGGAAAUUGCCGGUACCAGAUGAAUAAGCACCGGCUAACUCCGUGCCAGCAGCCGCGGUAAUACGGAGGGUGCAAGCGUUGUCCGGAUUUAUUGGGUUUAAAGGGUGCGUAGGCGGCUAUUUAAGUCAGUGGUGAAAGACUCCGGCUCAACCGGAGCAGUGCCAUUGAUACUGGAUAGCUUGAGUAUUGGAGGGGUACAUGGAAUUGAUGGUGUAGCGGUGAAAUGCAUAGAUACCAUCAGGAACACCGAUAGCGAAGGCAUUGUACUGGCCAAUAACUGACGCUGAUGCACGAAAGCAUGGGUAGCGAACAGG